Molecule: ribosomal RNA, 551 nt
Filed under: Inocybe sp. YM3245
Lineage: Eukaryota; Fungi; Basidiomycota; Agaricomycetes; Agaricales; Inocybaceae
Description: eukaryotic LSU rRNA
Rfam family: 5.8S ribosomal RNA (bases 222-375)
Source: RNAcentral
UGUUGCUGGCCCCCCUCGGGGCAAUUGGUGCACGCUUGUCAUCUUUAUUUCUCCAACUUGUGCACAUAUUGUAGACCUGGGAGUUUUGUUUUGUUGAUUUGUUUCGAGUUGGGACUGCUGUGCUAAAAGUCAGCUUUGCCUUGCAUAUUUCCUCCAGGUCUAUGUCAUUUUCACAACCUCUCAUAGUGUUUAGAAUGUUGAAUCAGAUGAAAUAAAUAUACAACUUUCAGCAACGGAUCUCUUGGCUCUCGCAUCGAUGAAGAACGCAGCGAAAUGCGAUAAGUAAUGUGAAUUGCAGAAUUCAGUGAAUCAUCGAAUCUUUGAACGCAUCUUGCGCUCCUUGGUAUUCCGAGGAGCAUGCCUGUUUGAGUGUCAUUCAAGUUCCUCAACCCACAUCGAUAAUAAUGGUGUGGCUUGGAUAUGGGGGUUGCGGGCUUCUGUGUGCAAAGUCUGCUCCCCUGAAAUGCAUUAGUGGUUAUCGUUGAGCCAACCACAGGUGUGUGAUAAAUAUAUCUAUGCCUUUGGUAUGCUGUUGAACCGCUUCCAACAAA